Felis catus (domestic cat) is the source of this 619-nucleotide long non-coding RNA. RefSeq lists it as uncharacterized. The transcript has 2 exons. NCBI's taxonomy places the organism in Eukaryota, Metazoa, Chordata, Mammalia, Carnivora, Felidae. The record is from RefSeq and is a predicted model, not a curated record.
AUGGGGGCAGGAAACUUCCCCUUUAUGAAUCCUGCUUAUGUCUCCAGCAGAGAAUCAGAAUUCCAUUUCCCAGCUCCCCUUGCAGCUAGGAUGGAGGCAUGUGACCAGAUCCCACCAAUCAGGACCAACCAAAGGAGAGUUGACUUCAGAAGAAAGAAAAUGGCGGCAGUAGUUGUACCUUCUAUUCAGCGUCUCCAAUGCCAGAGCCUGGACGCAAUGGGCUCGUGUUUGUAGCCUGUUCAAUGGCGUGUGACAAUCAUGGCUCCUGGCUGCUUGGUGCCCUGGUCAAUUCUCUCGGCAUCCCAGCAGUUACCAGGCCCCUUACGGCUCUGAUUAUGUGAAUUGGGUCCAGGUGUCUCUGAAGUCAGAAAAUAAACUCCCCAAGUUUGGGCCAGACUAGAAGAUGGUGAUGCGUCUUGAUGAGCAAUCAGGUGGACCUUGAACAAGGAGGAUCAGGUUCUGCCGGCACCAAUUCAUUCAAGGACAGAAGGAACUGAAGCUUGCAGCUGGCAUUUUGAGGCGAAAGCUUCUAAAAUUCCUGUUGACGGUCACGGAAAUACUGGUUUACGGUUAUACAUUCAAUACCACGGCAAGGGGGGCAUUAAAAAAAUUUUUUUUU